RNAcentral lists this transfer RNA (77 nucleotides) under Fidelibacterota bacterium. RNAcentral describes it as "tRNA-Arg". It matches the Rfam family "tRNA". From Rfam's summary of the family: Transfer RNA (tRNA) molecules are approximately 80 nucleotides in length. Their secondary structure includes four short double-helical elements and three loops (D, anti-codon, and T loops). Further hydrogen bonds mediate the characteristic L-shaped molecular structure. tRNAs have two regions of fundamental functional importance: the anti-codon, which is responsible for specific mRNA codon recognition, and the 3' end, to which the tRNAs corresponding amino acid is attached (by aminoacyl-tRNA synthetases). tRNAs cope with the degeneracy of the genetic code in two manners: having more than one tRNA (with a specific anti-codon) for a particular amino acid; and 'wobble' base-pairing, i.e. permitting non-standard base-pairing at the 3rd anti-codon position. Lineage: Bacteria; Pseudomonadati; Fidelibacterota. The record is from RNAcentral.
GCACCCGUAGCUCAGCUGGAUAGAGCAUCGGCCUUCUAAGCCGAGGGUCAUAGGUUCGAGUCCUAUCGGGUGUGCCA